RNAcentral lists this ribosomal RNA (253 nucleotides) under uncultured bacterium. Its description in RNAcentral is "partial 16S ribosomal RNA". It matches the Rfam family "Bacterial small subunit ribosomal RNA", at positions 524 to 776 of the family's 1533-position model. The record is from RNAcentral.
GACGUAGGGCGCGAGCGUUGUCCGGAUUUAUUGGGCGUAAAGAGCUCGUAGGCGGCUUGUCGCGUCGUCCGUGAAAACCUGCGGCUCAACUGCAGGCUGGCGGUCGAUACGGGCAGGCUGGAGUUCGGUAGGGGAGACUGGAAUUCCUGGUGUAGCGGUGAAAUGCGCAGAUAUCAGGAGGAACACCUGCGGCGAAGGCGGGUUGCUGGGCCGACACUGACGCUGAUGCGCGAAAGCUAGGGGAGCGAACGGG